Molecule: long non-coding RNA, 496 nt
Filed under: Numida meleagris (helmeted guineafowl)
Lineage: Eukaryota; Metazoa; Chordata; Aves; Galliformes; Numididae
Description: lncRNA (ENSNMEG00000010034.1)
Source: RNAcentral
UGGUUUUAAAGAUAUAAAUAAAUAACUACAAAGACAAUCUUUUUUUAAUUAAAGCUAUUUAUUAUUUGCAGAGCUGUAGCUUGCGGGGCCUCAUUGUUCGGGAACGCCGUGUAACAAAAAGAAAGGCCACGCACUGAGGAGCUGCUGCUUCUGCAAGGGAUCUCUUCAAAACAGAAACCAAACAAAACCGAACAAACCCAACAGUUUACUCUGCAGCCAACAAUGGUUGCUGCCAAAGCCUCGUACCUGGCAGCAUUCAACAGGGAAGAUCAGCACAAUCAGACCUUACAGAAGAAAGAUAUCAAGAUAUUGGAAACUCUCCUGUGACUAUAUUCUGUGCUUUACUGAGAGGAGAAGAGGAGCUCAAUGAAUUUGUCCUUGUGUAGGAGUUUGUGGCAGAACAAGAGGCUGAGCCCUGUUUCCUCCACUCAGACCAGUGCUGCAAUCCCAUGACCAGUGCGCUUCUCUGCAGGCACUUUCCUUGCAUCAUUUCUAC